GAGUUUGAUCCUGGCUCAGGACGAACGCUGGCGGCGUGCCUAAUACAUGCAAGUAGAACGCUGAAGAGAGGAGCUUGCUCUUCUUGGAUGAGUUGCGAACGGGUGAGUAACGCGUAGGUAACCUGCCUGGUAGCGGGGGAUAACUAUUGGAAACGAUAGCUAAUACCGCAUAAAAUUGAUUAUUGCAUGAUAAUUAAUUGAAAGAUGCAAUUGCAUCACUACCAGAUGGACCUGCGUUGUAUUAGCUAGUUGGUGAGGUAACGGCUCACCAAGGCGACGAUACAUAGCCGACCUGAGAGGGUGAUCGGCCACACUGGGACUGAGACACGGCCCAGACCCCUACGGGAGGCAGCAGUAGGGAAUCUUCGGCAAUGGGGGGAACCCUGACCGAGCAACGCCGCGUGAGUGAAGAAGGUUUUCGGAUCGUAAAGCUCUGUUGUAAGAGAAGAACAGGUGUGAGAGUGGAAAGUUCACACUGUGACGGUAUCUUACCAGAAAGGGACGGCUAACUACGUGCCAGCAGCCGCGGUAAUACGUAGGUCCCGAGCGUUGUCCGGAUUUAUUGGGCGUAAAGCGAGCGCAGGCGGUUAGAUAAGUCUGAAGUUAAAGGCUGUGGCUUAACCAUAGUAUGCUUUGGAAACUGUUUAACUUGAGUGCAGAAGGGGAGAGUGGAAUUCCAUGUGUAGCGGUGAAAUGCGUAGAUAUAUGGAGGAACACCGGUGGCGAAAGCGGCUCUCUGGUCUGUAACUGACGCUGAGGCUCGAAAGCGUGGGGAGCAAACAGGAUUAGAUACCCUGGUAGUCCACGCCGUAAACGAUGAGUGCUAGGUGUUAGGCCCUUUCCGGGGCUUAGUGCCGCAGCUAACGCAUUAAGCACUCCGCCUGGGGAGUACGACCGCAAGGUUGAAACUCAAAGGAAUUGACGGGGGCCCGCACAAGCGGUGGAGCAUGUGGUUUAAUUCGAAGCAACGCGAAGAACCUUACCAGGUCUUGACAUCCCUCUGACCGCUCUAGAGAUAGAGUUUUCCUUCGGGACAGAGGUGACAGGUGGUGCAUGGUUGUCGUCAGCUCGUGUCGUGAGAUGUUGGGUUAAGUCCCGCAACGAGCGCAACCCCUAUUGUUAGUUGCCAUCAUUCAGUUGGGCACUCUAGCGAGACUGCCGGUAAUAAACCGGAGGAAGGUGGGGAUGACGUCAAAUCAUCAUGCCCCCUAUGACCUGGGCUACACACGUGCUACAAUGGCUGGUACGACGAGUCGCAAGCCGGUGACGGCAAGCUAAUCUCUGAAAGCCAGUCUCAGUUCGGAUUGUAGGCUGCAACUCGCCUACAUGAAGUCGGAAUCGCUAGUAAUCGCGGAUCAGCACGCCGCGGUGAAUACGUUCCCGGGCCUUGUACACACCGCCCGUCAA
RNAcentral lists this ribosomal RNA (1407 nucleotides) under uncultured bacterium. Its description in RNAcentral is "bacterial SSU rRNA". It matches the Rfam family "Bacterial small subunit ribosomal RNA". The record is from RNAcentral.